GGAGAGUGGUGGAGUCUCUAAACAGAGGCUGGAUGGUCAUCUGUUGGGGAUACUUUGAUUGAGAGUUCCUGCAUGGCAGAGGUUUGGACUGGAUGGCCCUUGUAGUCUCUUCCAGAGGUUUCACUCCUCCACUGCGCAGGGCCUAGCCAGCUGGCUGGGUCCCAAAGAAGGAGGCCUUGCCAUGGCGAGUCCUCCUUCAGUGGUGGGAAGAGCCGCGCGGGGCCUAGCCGGCUGACCGGAUCCCAGAGAAGGAGACUGCCGCUGGGCUCCAACUGGCUGGGCCCCAAGAAAAUAGAGGAGGACGCCACAGCUUAGUCUCACAGUUUUGGCCUAGCACUGCAUCCAGGACAGAACCCUGUGGCACCCCACUGGUCACUUCUCUCCAAGAUGAAGAAGAGCCAUUGCUGAUCAUCCUUUGGGUUCAGCUGUUUAACCAACAUUAGGGGAAGGAAGAGAUGAGUAAGAAAUCAUCAUCAUCACCAUCAUCAUUUACAAUUUUGCCAUAUAUUUUUCAAAGCUUAUUUUCAUGAUAUGCUUUGCCAUUCUAAUUUUCUACAAAAAAAAAUAGUUGAAAAAUCUUCAAAAGACAAAAAGGGUGUCCUGAAAUGAAUGGGGAACUAGUAAUGAAGAACAGGUUAAAGUGUAAGCUUUAAGGCCUUUGUGCAAGCUCAGAACAAUGCUCAGAGGUACUUAAUAUUAUUAAUUGUUUUCUAAAUUUUCCAUAUGGAGAGAGAGAGAGAGAGAGAGUUAGAUUCAGAAUGUAAUUCCACCCUUCACUAUGCUGUUACAGUGGAAUGAUAUACAGUACACCUGGCUUAAUAAAUGCUAUUAAAAUGGAAGACUCUGAAUUUGUCACACUAUUGAAAUUACACUAUCAUAGUUGUGAGGAUCUUGAAAAAGAGAUAACAAAAGCCAAAAGUAUGCCUAUAUACUCAAACAGAAAAUGUUAAAUUUAUGGUACAAAUAUAUUGCAUUUAGAUAAAUUCCUAAAUCCUGUUGUUGUUAGUCCCAACUAGAUAGAAUCACUGAAGCAACUGGGCUUACUUCUGUACAGACUAAAUAAAAACUGAUUAAUUGUAUUUACUCCAGCUGUUACUAACCAAUAUGAUUUCAGCCAUAAUGUUGGUGGUGGGUGCUGGUGCAGAUAUGGAAUAUUCAAGUCAUGUUGAAAUUUUCUUUCUUAACUUUUACAUGUCUUUUGCAAAUUCUUCAUACUUUUGGAAGGAUUUUGUUAAAUAAUGUAGUAUAAAUACAUUUCCCUAGAUUAGGUGGAGAAAUGUUUCUCCCAUUUCCUAUGCAACCCAUCCCUUAUCAGCCCUUUUGCAAGCUAAACAUUUGCAGUGAUAAAAAUGUGAGGCCUUAUACAAUAUGCAGUAUGGAAAAGUUGUUACAGAUGUAAAAUAUAGAUACUGUUCUCAUUUAUAAACCUGAUUGGCCAACUUUUUUUAAAAAAAAUUCUUAUUAUUUUAAAUAUUAUUUGCAGGAGAGGAAUAUUUGGAUGGUUUGCAGACAUUUCUGUGCCAGAGAGAGGAAAAUAUUCUCAAAAUUAAAAUGUGUUAAAAGGCAGCAACUACUGUAACAAGAAAGCAGAAGAAAACUUAAAUAGAUUUGGUAAAUCUGAUCAUUAGCUGUUGGUUUAGCUAGGUAUUGAUAAGUAUUUGGAAUCAUUAUAUAACUAAGUGAAUCCUUUUUCUUUUCCAGUUAAGAAAAUAGUGUCUUAUGAAUCCCACCCCCAUUCCAGAUAACUCCCUAAUUUUGGUGCCAUUUGUUCUGUGUGCAAAAAUGGAGAAACAGUGCAUGCUGCAUUGUAUAAAACAAAUGUGAGUGCUUAACAUUUUAAAAAUUUUAAAGAAUCAAAUGUGCCAAUUCUGUAACAGUCUGUUUUUAUUGUUAUUUGUUCUUUUUCCACAUUGGAUUAAUGUAUGGAACCAUUAAUUGUUAGACAGCAAUGGUACCCAUUAACCUUAUUUUGAUUUUGUAUAUUCCAGCUAACAAUAUCAGGCUUGCUCUAGUACAAUCUUGGUAAAUUGUGGGAUAGUUUUUUGCAUUCUGUAUUUGAACACUUUAAUUUUUAAAACAAAAGCCUAUAAAUCUCAUUAGUUGGCAACCAGACAUGACUAGAGGGAUCAAUACACUCACAAAAAAUAGUUUCAUCUUUGUGCUUGUUGACUUCCCACAAAUCACUGUUUCUCAAAGACAACAAUUUAAGAUCAAUUUAUAAAUGAAACUUUUUUUAUUGCUGUGCUGACACCAAAAAUGCCCUUAUUUGCUAACAAUAUACAUGUCUUUCACAGGCUUUUGCUAAUUCUUUCUCUCUUUGUCAAAACUCUCGAAAAAGAGGUCCCUGUAUCUUCUGAUUAACUGAAAUAAUAUAGACAUGAGAUGGAAGUGCAGAAUAUUUCUACAUAUUAAUUGUCUAUGAAGUGGAAUGCAUUCCAUGAUGAACACACACACUCCUGAUGUUCCUGUUCAAUAAAGUGACUUUUUUUAGAACAGAAAUAUUCCUUGCAUUUUCCUUCUGUUUCAGAAUAACAGAAUAUGGAAUAUACAUCAAAAUUUUAAAUUGCUGGAAAAAAAUCUUGCAUUAUUUCUUGUCUAUAUUGUUGAAACAAUCAGUUAAAUUGCUCUUGUCUUUGCUCCUUAGCUCUUGUAAUAAGCCAAUAAAGUUUGCAAACACACCGUUGAUCAAAUAAGUUUGUCGCCUUUGCUCUUUAGCCUAAUAAGCCAAAAAUGUUUGCAAACACACAAGCUAGUUAGAAAAUUAACACAAAUAUCAAAGCAAUAAUUUAAGAAAUAUUGAAAUGUUUAUAUGCUUCUAUUGUCAUACCGUUGGCUUCUUUUGAAUUUGCUGUUGAAACUUCAAUUUUACAAUGUGGCUGUGUUUGCUAAAAUGCAAUUAUUGAAAAUAUAUAAAUGACAUUAAUAUAGAACAUGAAUAUGAUGGUGUGAAAGACAUGUAAAACAGAAGUCCUGUAUAUAAUCUUACCUGAAAGUUAGUCCAUUAAAUCAGAAUAAACUUGAACAAAACUGGACUGCCUAGAGUCAACGAGUAAGAUAUAGCACUUGGAGUCAAAUGUAGCAAUAACUGAUUGCAAAGCAGUCAGGAAUGAUUUGGGUAAAACAAAAACAGAGGAUUAAGCUAGAUGAAAUGUUAAAAGCUGGUACUCCUUUAAUUUAUAUUGUUUUUAUUUUUAAACUGACAGCAAUGGGGUCCCCCAAUCAGAUUGUGCCAUACAGGGAAAGUCUGUUCAACUCUUUCCCCUCUCUGCUGCAGAUCUCUUGAAAAUGCUGGAAAUAAUCACCCCUGCAUUCCUGGGCCCUGUUGCUAUUCAUUCCAUAAAGAAAGCUGCCAUUGGCAUCAAGAACAGUUUUUCUCUGGGGAGAAAUAUCGGUUUCACUAGGGGUAGGCAAGCGUGAAAUUUUCACCAGGACUGUAACUCAGUGAGAAAGGGUAACACCAUACCACACCACCUACACAGCACAGCCCCAAUCCUGAUCUCCCCACCCAUUCCUAACAACUGUUAAUUGUAAAGCAAGACAUGUUAAAUGUGAGCACACAUUUAAUGUAUUGUUUACUUCACAAUGAGCUGGGAAUUUUUUUGAGAUUACACAGGUUUUCCAGCAGAGGUGAAGGGUGAAUUGUAAAUUAUUAUAAUGCAUUCUGAAAUGCAGUGGCUGUGAUUUUGUUUAAAAUUAUAGCAUAAAUAUUUUUCCUUGCACAUAUUAAUUUUAAAAUGUUGUGAACAUACAGGAGAAAAGUGGAAUUUUUAAAAAUUGCAUCUACUACAAGUACCGUUCCUAAAGGGUAAAAAAUGGCCCAUGAAGUGAUCAUGUUACAGGACAUAUUAUACUCCGUGAAGACUUCAUUCAGUCCUGUGCCUUUUCCCUUUUAACAGAACAGGUUGCAAACUCACCAAAGUAUCUAUUAAGAAAUUCCCUUUUUAUCAGUGUAAUUGAUAGCCCAGGGACUUAAAAUGUGACUCAAAUUUUCAUGACUUUCCAAAAGCUUUCAACAUUUUUUCAUGAUAAUGAAUUGAAUAUGGCCAAUAUUUCAAAAGGUAUGUUUUUAAGUAGUUCCUAAAUUGUCUGGCAAACAUAUUAAAUUGAAUCCUUUGAUUUCUUGUCUACACCUAAAGAGGCCAUGCACGUAUGGAAGCAGGGAAGCAAAUCUACCUUCUAUGUGCAUAGCAACCAAAUGAAGAAUCUGGUUACAUAUGGAAAACUACAGAUCAUCAUAGGCAAAACAGGAGACAAUCUACUGCUCUAUGCCUGAGUGUACACAUAACUACAAAUAACAGUGUGCAAAACUCAGGGAAGCAUGCUGCCUCUGAUCUUGGCACCUUAUAGAUAGUUAUUUUGCAUUGAUCUGCGUGCCUACUUUCUAUGCACAAAACUAAUCAGACACUCAUAGCACCUGGGGAUAUGUGGGCAUUUCUGGCAGAUGGACAUUUCCCUCCUUCCAAGUAAAUAAUUUCAGUGUAGUGUGCAUAAAAUUCAGAAUGUACAUUUAGUAGCCUCCUAUAAACACAUUUGAGAAGUCUGGUGUUAAAAAUAAUGCAUAUUUUUGUACAAGUAGAAAUAAUACUUCAAAACUGAACUUAAAAUUCUGAAAUACAUAAGCAUUAAAUAGUAGCAGUAGUAAUGGAGACACUUUUUGCAGGUUAAUUAUUGUUAAUAAUUUACAUAGUUAUCAUGCAUAUGUAUUAGUAGUAAUUUUUUUAAAAAACAUAUUAUUUUAAAUUGCUAUACAAUGCUUGCAUUUAAUUCUUGUUUGCACCCUAGUGGACUAAGCUAUACCUUUUUUUCUUCCUCUUGCAUGUGUGUUAGCCCAACAGGAGAGCUCCACUUUCCUUGCCUGCCACAACAGGGUAAGGACUAUCACUUAUUUCCAGGUUGUAGGUCAGAAGCUCUUCUAAAGUACAUAGGCCUUACCAGUAUG
This is a long non-coding RNA of Sceloporus undulatus (fence lizard), 4939 nucleotides long. RefSeq lists it as uncharacterized. The transcript is spliced from 3 exons. The record is from RefSeq and is a predicted model, not a curated record. Lineage: Eukaryota; Metazoa; Chordata; Lepidosauria; Squamata; Phrynosomatidae.